CCUACGGGUGGCAGCAGUGAGGAAUAUUGGUCAAUGGACGAGAGUCUGAACCAGCCAAGUAGCGUGAAGGAUGACUGCCCUAUGGGUUGUAAACUUCUUUUAUAUGGGAAUAAAACGUUCCACGUGUGGGAUUUUGUAUGUACCAUAUGAAUAAGGAUCGGCUAACUCCGUGCCAGCAGCCGCGGUAAUACGGAGGUUCCGAGCGUUAUCCGGAUUUAUUGGGUUUAAAGGGAGCGUAGGUGGAUUGUUAAGUCAGUUGUGAAAGUUUGCGGCUCAACCGUAAAAUUGCAGUUGAAACUGGCAGUCUUGAGUACAGUAGAGGUGGGCGGAAUUCGUGGUGUAGCGGUGAAAUGCUUAGAUAGCACGAAGAACUCCGAUUGCGAAGGCAGUUCACUGGACUGCAACUGACACUGAGGCUCGAAAGUGUGGGUAUCAAACAGGAUUAGAUACCCCUGUAGUC
This 460-nucleotide ribosomal RNA is filed under the name uncultured bacterium. RNAcentral's name for it is "partial 16S ribosomal RNA". It matches the Rfam family "Bacterial small subunit ribosomal RNA", at positions 338 to 795 of the family's 1533-position model. The record is from RNAcentral.